This 488-nucleotide ribosomal RNA is filed under the name uncultured bacterium. Its description in RNAcentral is "bacterial SSU rRNA". It matches the Rfam family "Bacterial small subunit ribosomal RNA", at positions 30 to 507 of the family's 1533-position model. The record is from RNAcentral.
AUUGAACGCUGGCGGCAUGCUUUACACAUGCAAGUCGAACGGCAGCACAGGGAGCUUGCUCCCGGGUGGCGAGUGGCGCACGGGUGAGUAAUACAUCGGAACGUGUCCUGUUGUGGGGGAUAACUGCUCGAAAGGGUGGCUAAUACCGCAUGAGACCUGAGGGUGAAAGCGGGGGAUCGCAAGACCUCGCGCAAUUGGAGCGGCCGAUGCCCGAUUAGCUAGUAGGUGGGGUAACGGCUCACCUAGGCGACGAUCCCUAGCUGGGUCUGAGAGGAUGACCAGCCACACUGGAACUGAGACACGGUCCAGACUCCUACGGGAGGCAGCAGUGGGGAAUAUUGCACAAUGGGCGCAAGCCUGAUGCAGCCAUGCCGCGUGUAUGAAGAAGGCCUUCGGUUGUAAAGUACUUUCAGCGGGGAGGAAGGGAGUAAAGUUAAUACCUUUGCUCAUUGACGUUACCCGCAGAAGAAGCACCGGCUAACUCCGUG